GAGGGUGUAGCUCAGUGGUAAAGCACAUGCUUAACAUGCAUGAGGUCCUGGGUUCAAUCCCCAGUAUCUCCU
Molecule: transfer RNA, 72 nt
Filed under: Camelus bactrianus (Bactrian camel)
Lineage: Eukaryota; Metazoa; Chordata; Mammalia; Artiodactyla; Camelidae
Also listed under: 2 other names
Rfam family: tRNA
About the family: Transfer RNA (tRNA) molecules are approximately 80 nucleotides in length. Their secondary structure includes four short double-helical elements and three loops (D, anti-codon, and T loops).
Source: Rfam by way of RNAcentral